GACAGUGUGGCCUAGUGGAAAGAGCACAGGCUUGAAAGCCAGAGGACCUGGGUUCUAAUCUCAGCUCUGCCA
This 72-nucleotide transfer RNA is filed under the name Ornithorhynchus anatinus (platypus). It matches the Rfam family "tRNA". From Rfam's summary of the family: Transfer RNA (tRNA) molecules are approximately 80 nucleotides in length. Their secondary structure includes four short double-helical elements and three loops (D, anti-codon, and T loops). Lineage: Eukaryota; Metazoa; Chordata; Mammalia; Monotremata; Ornithorhynchidae. The record is from Rfam by way of RNAcentral.